Molecule: unclassified non-coding RNA, 575 nt
Filed under: Hevea brasiliensis (rubber tree)
Lineage: Eukaryota; Viridiplantae; Streptophyta; Magnoliopsida; Malpighiales; Euphorbiaceae
Source: RNAcentral
UUAACAAAGGAAUCGGAAAGUUUGCUCGACAAAAUCCGACCACCGCUUCUCGAAGAUGCAGGUCUCGAAGAUUGUGCUCUACCACCGGAAUUAAUCAAAGAGGCAUUUUUCAAAGCUGCCACCGCCGUACGAUCUAUGAUUCCGCUAACGGAUGACGAAUUCGAAGGCCAGUGUGUGAAAACUCCUUCGCCAAUCGAGGAUUCUACUAAGGAUGCUCUUGUAGGAAUGACGGAGGGUAUUGACAACAUUCCCGGAAAAUGUGUUACGGAGAAGGGCGGCGGCGGUGAAGUGCCGGAAGUAACGAGCGACGUGGUGGCUGACAAUAAGGAUCCGGAAGAGGGCGGUGACUUGGUGGGUGGAUCGUCUCUUCCGGAAGGAGGUCAAUCUUGUGUGGAUGGGCUGCAGGGUUUGGAGAUUGGAGACAAAGGGGGAAAAAUUAAGAAAAAGGAAGAGGAAGAAAGUGAGAAGCCAACUCUGGUUGAAGGUUUUGUAUGAGCAAUUCUAGUUUUGCUGCAUAUCUUGUAAAUUUCUUUGAAUUAUUAUUGUACGAGUACUAAAACAUUGUCUAUUUGAAG